UCCUUACACAUGGGAUGUUUCCUUUCUUAUCGCUCGGCCUGCUCAACCCCCUACCUUGGUGCGAUACUGCUGUUUCUCCUCUUCCUACACGCAGCAGCGCCGCAUCGAUUUGGGCGCUCACUACGUACGGUGCUCGCCGGAUUGGCCGGCGUCCCUGCCGCCGUACACGGUAGUGGAGGUCCCUUGAUGAAAACUCCUCUCUGCUGGUCCGUAGACGCCUCCUUUCGCCAUUCUCUCCUCUUCAGUUUUUUCGGGAUUUCUUCACCGUCCGGUUGUGCAUUGGCUUCCCCUAGGACCUUCUUGCGUCGCCUGAUUGAUCUGCAGGGUGUGCCGCCGUGGGAGACCCUAGGCCUCCACUUCCCGUGCUAAGCUUCCACCAUGGAAGGGGGAAGCAAAGGAGAUAGCAACAGCUUAGGGGCACAACCAGAAGAUCAACCGGUUCUUCUCCCAUCUACUGAUCUACAUGUCCAUAAAGCUGUGGAAUCACAAGAUCAACCGACUAUUCUCCUAUGCACUCAUCCAGAUCUCCUACAAAAUUAGGAAUCAACUACCAAUUUCGUCUAGCAGAUCCAAACAAGUCAACCAAUACUGCAUAUUCCACCCACACAUGACGAUCUGUCACAGCUAUUGGAUCUGAUGAAUCUAUCCUAGAUCCAACCGUACACGGCAACCCUGCUCCAGAGCAAUAUGUCUACCUCCCAGGGGUAAGUCAAAAGAAAAGAACACUCACAAGUUUUUUCCCAAGCGUGCAAUUUAAACUUAAACUACCUACACCACAUUAGCUCACCCUCUAUCUGCUUGAAAUUAUGAUGCAUUCACUGCUUUAGUCAUAUAGUUCAAACAUAUUACAAUAUAAUUGGCCAUUAUAUAUAUGCAAAGUAAAAUAUCAUUGCAGUAAACAUAUAGAAGAAUAACAAGACAUAUUGCACCCAUAUGAAUAAUAAUUUUAACAAACAAUACUAAUAUAUAUAUCUACAUGUACAUCUUUAUUUUUUAGACAAUUGUAUUAAGGUAUUUGUAUCCACACACAACCCAAUUGUGCUCACAAAUGUUUUUUUAGUCACCUUGAUAUAAAUAGGCUGCAACUAAAGUCUAUAUCUCAAAGCAGCUCCUGCUAACGCGAUUACAUCCAAGCCUGGCUUAGUCAUACAUUCGUCAUAGAUCAAGUUCGAAGGACCAGAUCAGUAUAGGGCCAAUUUAAACAUGGAUUUACCAAGAGUAGGCAUUCGGGUAUAAAAAAAUGAGAUACAUUCUAUGGUGAGGUAGCAGACACAUCCUACGAAGCUAAAGAGAGUACCACGCAUGCAGCCAUUCAAUGCCUUCAGAGAAAGAAAAAUAUUGCAAUAAAGGAUCUACUGAGAAGAAACUCCACACAACCAAGCAAAUGUUAGACCUGUUUGCACAUAGUCUAGAACUCCACAGAAACGAAGGUCACCUCCUCCAACAGAACCAACAGAAAUAUAACAUGUUAGUGAAUGAGAUCAACAUGAUCUGUGCCCAAAGUGCAUUAUACCUUCCCAAACAUGUCAAAUGGUUGGGACAACCAGCAUGGCCAAACAAAUGAUAUCUCUGUUGCAUACAUUGGCCAUUCUCCACCUGUCACAUCAAAUGAGAUACUUGCAAAGCAUCUGAUAGCUCUUACGCAGUACAAGCAUGAUUGAUCAUCCUUCCUUCCCACAUAGGCAAGUAUUAUUCAAUCUCCUACAUUAUACAUAUGAGUAUUUUCAAUGUACCAACAGGUCAUUACUAAACAAUGUCUAUUACCGACCAAGCUAUGCAUCCCAAAUAAUGAAUUGCAUGGAUUUUCAUUUUGCAGGAUAAACAAAUGUGUAUGUCACAUGGCUAGGAAAUCCAAAUGUGGCUAAACCAUCAAAGUGCUGUGUCCACAUUGUGCUAGCUUGCAUUUGCCCCUUUUUGUAGCAUAUGUUCAAACCGCUUGGACCAUCAUAAUUGAUGAGCAAAACAAUAUAUCCCUAUAUGUUAUCACCACUGUUAUAAUGUUAAGGUUGUUCAAAUAUUGUACCAUGUACAUAUCGUACCUGAUGUUAUCUGUAUAAAUUUCGUAUCCUGUACACAUAGAUAUCGACUCCAUGUAAAAUAAUCUACUCUAUGUUACUGUUGUUUCCUCUUUUAUGUAAAAAUGUCUAUGCCUAUUAUCUUCA
Oryza sativa Japonica Group (Japanese rice) is the source of this 2162-nucleotide non-coding RNA. The record is from RefSeq and is a predicted model, not a curated record. Lineage: Eukaryota; Viridiplantae; Streptophyta; Magnoliopsida; Poales; Poaceae.